Molecule: small nucleolar RNA, 136 nt
Organism: Balaenoptera ricei (Rice's whale)
Lineage: Eukaryota; Metazoa; Chordata; Mammalia; Artiodactyla; Balaenopteridae
Product: small nucleolar RNA SNORA51
Exons: 1
Source: RefSeq, a predicted model, not a curated record
GGCCUCCUGGUGCUUACCACAGGCUGUGUUCUUACACUGACUGUAUAGAAAGAGGAGGCAGAGUAAACGCACCCCAUAUACACCUCAGCCCAGGCCAAAAAAAAAAAAAAAGACUUGAAUAGAUGGUUCUUCAAAA